Molecule: ribosomal RNA, 253 nt
Filed under: uncultured bacterium
Lineage: Bacteria
Description: partial 16S ribosomal RNA
Rfam family: Bacterial small subunit ribosomal RNA
Source: RNAcentral
UACGUAGGGUGCGAGCGUUAAUCGGAAUUACUGGGCGUAAAGCGUGCGCAGGCUGCUUCGCAAGUCAGGCGUGAAAUCCCCGGGCUUAACCUGGGAAUGGCGUCUGAAACUACAAGGCUAGAGUGUAGCAGAGGGGGGUGGAAUUCCACGUGUAGCAGUGAAAUGCGUAGAGAUGUGGAGGAACACCGAUGGCGAAGGCAGCCCCCUGGGCUAACACUGACGCUCAGGCACGAAAGCGUGGGGAGCAAACAGG